Thamnophis elegans (Western terrestrial garter snake) is the source of this 166-nucleotide long non-coding RNA. RefSeq lists it as uncharacterized. The record is from RefSeq and is a predicted model, not a curated record. The transcript has 3 exons. NCBI's taxonomy places the organism in Eukaryota, Metazoa, Chordata, Lepidosauria, Squamata, Natricidae.
AAGAACAACCUUGUGAAGGCUGAGAGAAGGACUGGCUCAAGGUCACUCACUGGGCUUUCAUGGUUGAGAUGGGACUCGUAGUUAAGGCAACAAUGAAAAGGAAGUAGACAACAGAAGCCUUGAGCUGAAAGGGACCUUGUCAGCAACAAGGAAGAAAUGGUCGUAC